RNAcentral lists this ribosomal RNA (543 nucleotides) under Russula azurea. Its description in RNAcentral is "mitochondrial SSU rRNA". It matches the Rfam family "Bacterial small subunit ribosomal RNA", at positions 359 to 952 of the family's 1533-position model. Lineage: Eukaryota; Fungi; Basidiomycota; Agaricomycetes; Russulales; Russulaceae. The record is from RNAcentral.
CAAUAUUAGUCAAUGCUCGAAAGAGUGAACUAGCUAACUGAAAUCAAUAAUAAUAAUUGAUAACAUAAGGGAAAAUAAUGAUAUUACCUUAUUAUUAGUGUCGUCCAAAUCUGGUGCCAGAAGACUCGGUAAGGCCAGAGACACAAACGUUAAUCGUCUUAAUCAGGCGUAAAGGGUUUGUAGGCGGCUUUAAAAUUUACUUAAAUAUAAAAAUAAGUAAAGAAUAAAAGCUAGAAUCAAAUAGAGGAUAUAUGAAAUAAUGCUUAGAGUAGGUCUGAUAUCCUUAGAUACUAAGUAGAAUAUUAAAGGCGAAAGCUUUUUUCCAUUAAUGAUUGACGCUCAGAAACGAAGGUGAGGAUAGGAAAUAGGAUUAGAUACCCAGAAUACCCCUCUCUGUCAACGAUGAAUGGUAGUUAUUAGUAAAAUUUAUUAAUGGCAAUGUUAACACGAUAACCAUUCCGCCUUGUGAGUACAACUGCAAAGUUGAAAACAAAAAAAUUAGUCGGUUUCGGAGCAAACGAAGUGAAGCAUGUUAUUUAAUAA